AGAGUUUGAUCCUGGCUCAGGACGAACGCUGGCGGCGUGCUUAACACAUGCAAGUCGAACGGGAUCCUUUCUAGCUUGCUAGGGGGGUGAGAGUGGCGAACGGGUGAGUAACGCGUGAUUAACCUGCCGUGUAGUUUGGAAUAGCUCCUGGAAACGGGUGGUAAUGCCGAAUGUUCCACAUGCUCGCAUGGGUGUGUGGGAAAACGUUUUAGUGCUAUGCGAUGGGAUCGCGUCCUAUCAGCUUGUUGGUGGGGUAGUGGCCUACCAAGGCUUCGACGGGUAGCCGGCCUGAGAGGGCGACCGGCCACAUUGGGACUGAGAUACGGCCCAGACUCCUACGGGAGGCAGCAGUGGGGAAUAUUGCACAAUGGGGGGAACCCUGAUGCAGCGACGCCGCGUGCGGGAUGACGGCCUUCGGGUUGUAAACCGCUUUUAUUGGGGAGCAAGCGUGAGUGAGUGUACCUUUUGAAUAAGCACCGGCUAACUACGUGCCAGCAGCCGCGGUAA
RNAcentral lists this ribosomal RNA (507 nucleotides) under Alloscardovia omnicolens. RNAcentral's name for it is "bacterial SSU rRNA". It matches the Rfam family "Bacterial small subunit ribosomal RNA", at positions 8 to 523 of the family's 1533-position model. The record is from RNAcentral. Lineage: Bacteria; Bacillati; Actinomycetota; Actinomycetes; Bifidobacteriales; Bifidobacteriaceae.